UUGGGGCAUAGGGUUUAGGUUUUAGGGUUUUAGGGUAUAGGGUUUAGGGUAUAGGGUUUAGGGUUUAGGGUAUAGGGUUUAGGGUAUAGGGUUUAGGGUAUAGGGUUUAGGGUAUAGGGUUUAGGGUUUAGGGUUUAGGGUAUAGGGUUUAGGGUUUAGGGUUUAGGGUUUAGGGUAUAGGGUUUAGGGUUUAGGGUAUAGGGUAUAGGGUAUAGGGUAUAGGGUUUAGGGUUUAGGGUAUAGGGUAUAGGGUUUAGGGUUUAGGGUUUAGCGUUCUAGGGUUUUAGGGUUUAGGCGUUUAGGGUUUAGGUUUAGGUUUUAGGGUUUAUGGUUAGGUUUAGGGCUUUAGGUUUGAGGGUUUAGGUUUAGGGUUUAGGGUUUAGGUUUUAGGGUUUUAGGGUUUAGGUUUAGGUUUAGGGUUAGGUUUAGGUUUUAGGUUUUAGUUUAGGGUUUUAGGGUUUUAGGUUAGGGUUUAGGUUUAGUCCGUUUAGGUUUAGGUUUUUAGGUUUAGGGUUUUAGGGUUUAGGGUUUAGGUUAGGUUAGGUUAGGGUUUAGGUGUAGGGUUUAGGGUUAGGGUUAGGUUUAGGGGUUUAGGGUUAGGGUUUAGGGUUUAGGGGUUUAGGGUUUAGGGUUUAGGUUGGUAGGGUUGUUAGGUUUAGGGUUAGGGUUUAGGGUUGGGUUAGUUAGGGUUUAGGGUUUAGGGUUUAGGGUUUUAGUUUAAGGGUUUAGGGUUUAGUUUUAGGGGUUAGGUUUAGGUUUAGGGUUAGGGUUUAGGUUUAGUAGGGUUUUAGUUUAGGGUUUAGGUUAGGGUUUAGGUUAGGGUUUAGGGUUUAGGGUUUAGCGGUUUAGGGUUUAGGUUUUAGGGUUAGGUUAUUUUAGUGGGUUUAUGGUUUAGGUUUAGGGUUAGGUUAGGUUUAGGUUUAGUUUAGGUUAGGGUUAGGGUUUAGGGUUUAGGGUGUUAGGUUUAGGUUUAGGGUUUAGGGUUUAGGGUUUAGGUUUAGGUUUAGUAGGGUUUAGGGUUAGUUUAGGGUUUAGUUUAGGGCUUUAGGUUUAGGUUUUAGGGUUUAGGUUAUUUUAGGUUUAUUUAGUUUAGGUUUAGGGUUUAGUUUAGGUUUAGGUUUUAGGUUUAGGGUUAUGGUUAGUUAGUUUAGUGUUUAGUUUUAGUUUAGGGUUUAGGUUUAGGUUUAGGUUUAGUUUAGUUAGGGUUGUUAGGGUUUAGGUUUAGGGUUUUAGGGUUUAGGGUUUAGUUUAGUAGGGUUUAGUUAUUUAGGGUUUAGGGUUUAGGUUUAGCGGUUUAGGGUUUAAGGUUUCUAGGGUUUAGGUUUAGGGUUUCAGGUUAGCGGUUAGGUAGGGUUUAGGGUUUAGGGUUUAAGGGUUUACGGUUUAGGGUUUAGGGUUUAGGGGUUUAGGGUUUCUAGGGGUUUAGGGUUAGGUUUAGGGGUUUAGGGUUUAGGUUUUGUAGUUUAGGGUUUUAGGUUUAGGGUUUAGUGUUUAGGAGUUUAGGUUUUUAGGGUUAGGGUUUAGGGUUUAGGGUUUAGGGUUUAGGGUUUGAGUUGUAGUUUUUAGGGUUUAGGGUUUUAGGGUUUAGGGCUUUUAGGCGUUUUAGGUUCUAGGUUUAGGGUUAGGGUUUUAAGGUUCUAGGGUUUAGCGGUUUGGGUUUAGGGUUUUAGGGUUUAGGGUUAGGGUUUUAGGUUUUUAGGUUUAGGGUUUAGUGUUUAGGGUUUAGGUUUAGGCGUUUUAGGGUUUAGGUUUAGGGGUUUCAGGGUUUUAGGGUUUAGGUUUAGGUUUUUAGGGUUUAGGGUUUAGGGGUUUUAGGUUUUUUAGGGUUUAGGGGUUUAGGUUUUAUGGUUUAGCGGUUUAGGGUUUAGGGUUUAGGGUUUAGGGUUUAGGUUAGGGUUUUAGGGUUAGGGUUUAGGGUUAGGGUUUAGGGUUUAGGGUUUAGGGUUCUAGAGGUUUAGGGUUUAGGGUUUAGGGUUUUAAGGUUUAGGGUUUAGGGUUAGAGUUUAGGGUUUAGGGUUUAGGGUUUAGGGUUUAGGGUUUAGGGUUUUAGGUUUAGGGUUUAGGUUUAGGUUUAGGUUUAGGGGUUUAGGGUUUAGGUUUAGUUAGGGUUUAUAUGGGUUUAGGGUUUAGGGUUUAGCGGUUUUAGGGUUUAGGGUUUAGCGGUUUUUAGGGUUUUAGGGUUUUAGGGUUUACGGGUUUAGGGUUUAGGGUAGGGUUUAGUGUUUAGGGUUAGGGUUUAGGGUUUAGUUUUUUAGGGUUUAGGGUUCUAGGGAUUUAGGUUAGGGUUUUAGGUUUAGGUUUAGGGUUUAGGGUUUACGGGUUUAGGGUUUAGGGUUUAGGGCUUUAGGGUUAGGGUUUAGGUUUAGGGUUAGGGUUUAGUUUAGGGUUUAGUUUAGGUAUAGGGUUUAGGUUUAGAGGUUUAGGGUGGUUAGGGUUUAGGGUUAGGUUUAGGUUUAGGGUUUAGGGUUUAGGGUUUAGGGUAUUUUUUUUAGGGUUUAUGUGGUUUAGCGUUAGGGUAUAGGGUUUAGUUUUAGGGUUUAGGGUUUUAGGUUUAGGGUUUAGCGGCUUUAGGUUUAGGGUUAGGUUUAGGUUUAGGGUUCUAGGUUUAGGUUUGGGUUUUAGGUUAGUUUAGGUUUAGGUUUAGGUUUAGGCGUUUAGGGUUUAGUUAAGGUUUAGGGUUUAGGGUUAGGGUUAGUUUUAGGUUUAGGGUUUACCUCCGCUCAUGUUUAGGGUUUAGUGGUUUUAGGUUUAUUAGGGUUUAGGGGUUUUAGGGUUUAGGGUUUAGGGUUAGGUUUAGGGUUUAUGGUUUGGGUUUUAGGGGUUUAGGGGUUUUAGGGUUUUAGGGUUUAGGGUUUUAGGGUUUUUUAGGGUUUAGGGUUUUAGUGUUAGGGUUUAGGGUUUAGGUGUAGGGUUUAGGUUUUAGGUUUAGGUUUAGGGUUUAGGGUUUUAGUAGGUUUUAGGGUUUAGGGUUUUAGGGUUUAGGUUUAGGUUAGGGUUUUAGGGUUUGAGGUUUAGGUGUUACGGGUUUAGGUUUAGGUUUAGGUUUAGGGUUUAGGGUUUAGGUUUAGGGUUUUUAGGUUUAGGGUUUAGGUUUAGGGUUAGGGUUUUAGGGUUUAGGGUUUAGGGUUUAGGGAUUUAGGGUUUAGGGUUAGGGUUUAGGGUUUAGGGUUUUAGGUUUAGGGUUAGCGGUUUAGGUUUUAGUCGUUCUAGGGUUUAGGGUUAGGGUUUAGGGUUUAGGUUUAGGGUUUUUAGGGUUUAGGUUUAGGGUUUAGGUUUAGGGUUUAGGUUUAGGUUUAGUUUAGGGUUUAGGGGUUUUAGGGUGUUAGGUUUAGGGUUAGGUUUAGGUUAGGUUUUAGGUUUAUGUUUAGGUUAGGGUUUUAGCGUUUAGGGUUUAGGGUUUAGGCGUUUAGGUUUAGGGUUUUAGGGUUUUAAGGGUUUAGGGUUUUAGGGUGUUAGGGUUAGGGUUUAGGGGUUUUAGGGUUAGGGUUUAGGGUUUAGGUAGGUUUAGGGUUUAGGGUUUAGGUUUUAGGGUUUAGGGUUUUAGCGGGUUUAGGGUUUAGGGUUAGGGUGUAGGGUUUAGGGUUUAGGGUUGUAGGGUUUAGGUUUAAGGUUUUAGGGUUUAGUUUAGUUUAGGGUUUAGGGUUAGGUUUAGGUUUUAGGUUUAGGUUUAGGUUUAGGGUUUAGGUUUAGGGUUUAGGGUUUAGGGUUUAGGGUUUAGGGUUUAGGGUUUUAGGGUUUAGGUUUAGGUUUAGGGUUUAGGGUUUAGGGUUUUAGGUUUAGGGUUUUAGGUUUAGGUUUUAGGGUUUAGGGUUUAGGGUUAGGGUUUAAGGGUUUAGGGUUCUAGGGUUUAGGGUUUAGCGUUUUAGGGUUUAGCGUUUAGGGGUUUAGGGUUUUAGGUUUAGGGUUUAGGGUUUUAGGGUUUAGGGUUAGGUUUUAGGGUUCUUAGGUUUAGGGUUUAGGUUUUAAGGGUUUAGGGUUUUUAGGGUUUAGGGUUUAGGGGUUUUAGCGGGUUUAGGGUUUAGGGUUUAGCGGUUUUAGUUUAGGGUUUCAGGGUUUAGGUUUAGGUUAGGGUUAGGGUUUAGAGGGUUUAAGGGUUAGGUUUAGGGUUUAGGUUUAGGUUUUAGGGGUUUAGGGUUUAGGGUUUUAGGGUUUAGGGUUUAGGGUUUUAGGGUUUAGGGUUUAGGUUUAGGGUUUAGGGUUUAGGGUUAGGGUUUGAGUUAGGUUUAGUUUUGGGUUUUAGGGUUUAGGUUUAGGUUUAGGUUUAGGGUUAGGGUUUAGGUUUAGGGGUUUUAGGUUUAGGUUUAGGGUUUAGGUUUAGGGUUUUAGGGUUUAGCGGUUUCAGGGUUUAGGGUUUUAGGGUUUAGCGGUUAAGGGUUUAGGUUUAGGGUUUAGGUUUAGGGUUUAGGGUUUAGGGUUACGGGGUUUAGCGGUUUAGGGGUUUAGGUUAGGUAGGGUUUAGGGUUUAGGGUUUAGGUUAGUUUAGGUUUAGUGUUUAGGUUUAGGGUUAGGGUUUAGGGUUAGGCGUUUUAGGGUUUAGGGUUUAGGGUUUAGGUUUCUUAGGGGUGUAGGGUUUAGGGUUAGGGUUUUAGGGUUUAGGGUUUUAGGUUUAGGUUAGGGUUCUAGGUUAGGUUUAGGGUUUAGGUUUUAGUUUAGGGUUUAGGGGUUUAGGGUUUAGGGUUUUAGGGUUUUAGGGUUUAGGGUUUAGGUUUUAGGUUUAGGGUUUAGGGUUUCGGGUUUAGGGUUUAGGUUUAGGGUUUUAGGGUUUAGGGUUAGCCGGUUAGGUUUAGGGUUUAGGGUUUAGGGGUCUAGGUUUUAGGGUUUAGGGUUUAGGGUUUAGCGGUUUAGGUUAGGGUUUAGGGUUUAGGGUUUAGGGUUUAGGUUUAGGGUUUAGGGUUUAGGGUUUAGGUUAGGGUUUAGGUUUAGCGGUUUAGGGGUUUUUUAGGGUUUAGGGUUUUUAGUGGUUUAGAGGUUUUUAGCGGUUUUAGGGUUUUAGGGUUUAGCGGUUUAGGGUUUAGGGUUUAGGGUUUAGGGUUUAGUGUUUAGGUUUAAGGGUUUAGGUUAGGGUUAGGUUAGGGUUUAGGUUUAUGGGUUUAGGUUAUAGGGUUUAGUAGGUUUAGGGUUUAGGUUAGGGAUUUAGGGUUUAGGUUUAGUUUUAGGGUUUAGAGUUUAGAGUUUAGGGUUUAGGGUUUAGGGUUAGUUAGGGUUUAGGGUUUAGGGUUUAGGGUUUAGGGUUUAGUUUGGUUAUAGGGGUUAGGAGUUUAGGUUUUAGGGUUUAGAGGUUUAGGGUUAGUGGAUUUUAGGGGUUUAGGUUUAGUGUUUAGGGGUUUAGGGGUUUAGAGUUAGGGUUUAGGGUUUAGGUUUAGGGUUUAGGUUAUAGGUUUAGUGUUAGGGUUUAGUUUAGGGUUUAGGGUUUAGAGAGUUUAGGUUUAGGUUUAGGGUUUAGGGUUUAGGGUUUAGGUUUUAGGGUUAGGGGUUUAGAGGUUUUAGCGUUUAGGGUUUAGCGGGUUUAGGGUUUAGGGUUUAGGAGUUUUAGAGGUUAUGGUUUAUAAGGGUUUUAGGUUUAGAGGUUUAGGGUUGUAAGUUUAGGGUUUAGUGUUUAAGGGUUUAGCGGAAUUAGAGUUAGGGUUUAGAAAUUUAGUUUUAGGUUAGGGUUUAGAGGUUUUAAUGGGGUUUAAGGUUAGGUGUUUAGUGGUUGGGUUUAGAGGUUUAGUGGUUUAGGUAUAGGGUUUCAGUGGCACGGGUUUAUGGUUUCCAGGGUUUUAGGGAUUAGGUUUAGGGCUUUAGGUGGUUUGUUGUGUAGUCUGCCAGGCGCGCGUAUUCAUUUUCUAGAGAUUUAGGGUUUAGGGUUUAGGUUUAGGGUUUAGGUUUAGGGUUUAAGGAUUAGGUUUAGGGUUUAAGGGUUUAGGUUUUGGUUAGGGUUUAGGGUUUUAGAGGUUUAGUGGUUGAGGGUUUCAGGGUUUAGUGGUUUAGGGUUAUAGAGGUUUAGUAUUAGGGUUUAGGUGUUAGUUUAGGUUUUAGGUUUAGGGUUGUAUGAGGUUAGGGUUUAGGACGUUAAGGGCUUUAGGGUUUAGGGGUUUUAGAGGUUUAGGGUUUAGCCGGUUUAGGGUUUAGGGUUUUGACGCGUUUAGCGGGUUUCAGGUUUAGGGUUUACGCGGUUUAGAGGUUAUAGGUUCUAGGGUUUAGGUUUAGGGUUUAGCGGUUUAGGGUUUAGGGCUUAGGAGGUUUAGGAGGUUUAGGGUUAGUCAGGUUUAGGGUUUUUAGGGUUUAGAGUUAGGGUUUAGGGUUAGUGGUUUAGGGUUUAGGUUUUAGGCUUAUAGGGUUUAGGUUUGCAGAGGUUUAGGGUUAGGGGUUUAUUCAACCGUGGUUUAGGGUUUAGGGUAUUAGGGGUCUUAGUGUUUAAUGCGGUUUACGGGUUUUAGAGUUAUAGGGUUUUAGGGUUUAGGGUUUUAGGGUUAGGAUUAGGUUAGGGUUUAGUGGUUUUAGGUUAGGGUUUAGGUUUAGUGGUUAGGUUUAGGGAUAUUGGUUUUAGGUCUAGGAGGUUCUUAGGUUUUAGGGUUUAGGGUUAAGGGUUUUAGGUAUUUUUAGGUUUUUAGGUAUUUAGGGUUUUAGGGUUUUGUUUUUAGAGCUUUAGGGUUUUAGGGUUUAGGGUUUAAGGGGUUUUAGGUAGGUUAGGGUUUAGGUGUUAGGGUUUAGGGUUUAGGUUUUAGGUUAUAGGUAUUAGGGUUUAGGGUUUAGGGUUUAGGGUUUGAGGGGAUUUAGCGGUUUAGGAUUUUUAGGGUUAUAGGGUAUUAGGGUUUAGGGUUUAAGGUUUAGGGUUUAGACUUGGGUUUUUAGGUUUAGGGUAGGGUUUUAGGGUUUUAGGGUUGUUUAAGGUUUUGAGUUUUAGGGUUUUAGGUUUUAGGUUUUAAGUUUUAGGGUUUUAGGGUUUUAGGUUUAGGGUUUUAGGGGUUUAGGGUUUAGGGUUUAGGUUUAAGGGUUUAGGGUUUAGGGUUUAGAGGUUUUAUGGGUUUAGGGUUUAUUGGUUAGGGUUUAGGGUUUAGGGAUUUUAGGGUAGUUGGUUAUAGGUUUAGGUUUUAGUGGUUUAGGUGGUAGUUUUAGGGAUUUAGGUAUUAGGGCUUAGGUUUAGUUUAGCGGGUUUAGGGUUUAGGUUUAGGGUUUAGGGUUUAGGAUGUUAGGGUUUAGGCUUUAGAGUUUUAGGUUUAGGGUUUAGUGGAUUUAGGGUUUAAGUGGUUUAGAGGUUUAGGGUUUAGGGGUUUAGGUUUAGGGUAUUAGGGGUUUAGGGUUCUAGGGUUUAGGUGUUUAGAGGGUUUUACGGGUUUAGCGGUUUAGGGUUAAUAGGGUUUUAGGGUUUAGGGUUUAGGUUUAGGGUUUAGGGUGUUAGUUUAGGGUUUAGGGUUAGGUUUAGGUUUAGUGGUUUAGGGUUUAGGGUUUAGGGGGGUUUUUAGGGAUUUAGUGUUUUAAGGGUUUUAGGUGUUUAGGGUUUAGGUGUUUAGGUUUUAGGGUUUAGGUUUAGAGGUUUAGGGUCUUAGGGUUUAGGGUUUAGGGUUUUAGGGUUAGGGUAUUUAGGUUUUAGGGUUUAGGGUUAGGGUUUAGGGUUUACGGUUUAGGGUUUUAGGGUUUAGGUUUUAGGGUUUAGGGUUUAGUGGUCUUAGUUUAGGUUAGGGUUUCGGGUUUAGGGUUUAGGUUUUUAGGGGUUUAGGUUUAGCGUUUAGUUUAGGGUUUAGGGUUUAGUGUUAGGGUUUAGGGUUAUAGGUUUAGGUUUAGGUUUAGGGUUUAGGGUUUAGGUUUAGAGGUUUAGGGUUUAGGUUUAUGUAGGGUUUAGGGUUUAGGGUAUAGGUUUAGUUUUCAGGUUUUUAGGGUUUAGGGUUAGUAGUUUAGGGUUUAGGGUUUAGGGUUAGGUUUCAGGUUUAGGUUUUAGGGUUUUAGGGUUAGUGAGGUUUAGAGGUUUAGUGGUUAGGGUUUAGGUUUAGGGUUUAGGGCUUUAGGUUUUAGUUCGGAAUAUUAGGGUUUAGGGUUUAGGGUGUUAGAAGGUAUUAGGGUUUAGGGUUUUGAGGCGGUUUAGGGUGUAGUUUAGCGGUUUAGGGUCUUUAGGGUUUUAGGGUCUUUAGGUUUUAGGGUUUUAGGGUUUAGAGGUUUAGGGUUAGCUGUUUAUAGGUUUAGGGGUUUAGCGGUUUAGGGUUUAGGGGUUUAGGAGUUUAGGGUAGAAUUUAAGGGGUUAUUAGGGGUUUGGGUUUAGGGUUUAUGUGGCUUUAGGGUUUUAGCGGUUUAAGAAGAGUUUUAGGGUUUAGGGUUUAGGUUUUAUGGGUUUAGGGGUUUAGCGGUUUAGAGUUUAGGGUUUGAUGUUUAGGGGUUUAGUUUAGGGUUUAGUUAGGUUUUAGCGUUUAUGGUCUUAGGGUUUUUAGUGGUAUAUAGGUUUGGUUUAGGUUUUAGUUUAUUGGUUUAAGGGUUUAGGGUUUAGGGUAUUAGGGUUUCAGGAGGUGUUAUUUUUUUUAGGGUUUAGUUUAGAGGUUUAGGGUUUUAGGUUUUAGUGGGUUUAGGUUAGCGGUUUAGGGUUUUAGGGUUUAGGAUUUAGGUUUAGUUAGGUAGUGGUUUAGGGUUUAGGGUUUAGUGUUUAUGGGUUUAUGGAUUUAACGAGUUUAGCCCUGGUUUAGGGUUUAGGUUUAGGGUUCUAGGGUUUAGGUUUAGGGUUUUUUAGGGUUUUUAGGGUUUAGGGUUUUAGGUUCUAGGUUAGGGUUAGGGUUUAAGGGGUUUUAGGGUUUAAGGAGAUUAGGGUUUUAGAGUUUUAGGGUUUAGUGUUAGGGUUUUAGCGCGUUUAGGGUUUAGGGUUUAGGGUUAGGGUUAGCCGGGUUUAGGGUUUAGGUUUUAGUCGAGUUUAGGGUCUAGAAGAGGUUUGAGGGGUUUAGGGUUUAGCGUUUAGGGUUUUAGGGUUUAGUAGUAUAUAGGGUUUAGGGGUUUAGGGUUUAGGGUUUAGGGUUUAGAGGGUUUAGGUUUAGGGUUUAGGGGUUUAUAGUAUCAGAGUUUAGUGAAUUUAGGGGUUUAGGGGUUUAGAGGGUAUUAGGGUUUAGGGUUUAGAGGUUUAGGGUUACGGGUUAUAGAAGGUUUUAGGUUAUAGGUAUUUGUAGAUUAUAGGGUUUAGGGUUUAGGGUAUUAGUUUAGGGUUAGGUUAUAGUAGUUUAGGGUUUAGGGGUUUUAGGGGUUUAGUGGUUAGAGGUUUAGGGUUUUAGAGGGUUAUAGGGUUAGUGUUUAGGGUUUAGGUUUAGCGGGUUCUAUGGGUUUAGGGUUUAGACGGUUAGGGUUUAGCGUUGAGGUUUAGGGUUAGGGUUUUAGGGUUUUAGUAGGUUUAGGGUUUAGGUUUACGGUUUAGGUUUAGGGUUUUAGGGGAUAGGGUUUAGGGUUUAGGUUUAGGGUUUAGGUUUAGGGUAGGUUUAAGGUUUAGGAUUUAGGGUUGGAUUUUAGGGUUUUAGGUUUAGGGGUUCUAAGGUUUUAGGGGUUUAGAGGUUUAGGGUUUAGCGUUAGACUGGGUUUUAGGGGUUUAGGGUUUAGGUUUAAGGGUUAGGUUUAGGGUUUAGGUUUAGGGUUUAGGGUUUAAGGUUUUAGGGUAGUGUUUUACGGUAGGGUUUAGAGGUUUUAGGGUUAGGGUUUAGGAGUUUAGGGUUUUAGAGUUUAGGUUAGGGUUUAGGGUUUAAGGGUUAGAGGUUUAGGGUUUAGGGUUUAGGGUUUAGGGUUUAGGGUUUAGGUCUCGUAGUGAAUUUAGGUGUUAGGUUUAGGGUUUAGGUUUUAGGGGUUUAGAGGGUUCUUAGAAGGUUAGUUUAGGUUAGGGUUAUAUGCAGAGAUUAGGGUUUGUUAGCGUUUAAGUUUAGGUUUAGAGGUUUAGGGUUUAGGUUUAGGGUUAUAGGGUUUUAGGGUUUAGGGCUAUAGCGGUUUAGGGUUAGGGGUUUUAGGGUUUAGGAAUUUAGGAUUUAGGUUUAGGUUUAGGUGUUUAGGGUUUAGGGUUUAGUUAGGGAUUUUAGGUUUAGGUUUAGGUUUAGGUUUAGAGGUUUAGAGAUUAGGUUUAGGGUUUUGAGGGUUUAGGUUUAUGGGUUAGGGUUUAGGGUUUAGGUGUUUUAGGGUUAGGGUUUGUUUAGGGUUUAGUUUUAGGGUUUAGGGUUUACAGGUUUAGGUUUAGCCAGGUUUAAGGUUUAGUUUAGGGUUUAAGGGUUUAGGGUUUAGGUUUACGAGUUAGGGUUUAGGUUUAGGUCUAUAGAGGUUUAGGGUUUAGGGUUUAUGUUUUAGGUUUAGUAGUUUAGGUUUAGAGGUUUAGGGUUGGGUUUUAGGUUUAGGUUUAGGGUUCUAGGGAUUUAGGGUUUAGGCGGUUUAGCGCGUAUAUAAGGUUUUCACGCAUUUAGGUGUUGGUGGUUUAGGGUUUUAGUGGUUGUUAGGUUUAGGUUUAGGGUUUAGGGUUUAGGUUUUAGGGUUUGUAGGGUUUAGCGGUUUAGGGUUUUAGGGUUUUUAGGUUUUUAGGUUUUAGGGUUUAGAUUGUUCAGGGUUUUUAGGUUUUAGGGUUAGGUUUAUAGUUUAGGGUUUAGGUUUAGGGUUCAGGGUUUUAGUGGUUUUAGGGUUAGAUUGGUUUAGUGGUUUAGGGUUUUAGGGGUUCGUAGGGUUUAGCGGGUUUAUGGGGUUUAGGGUUUUUAGGUUUUAGGGUUUAGGUUUAGGGUUUAGGUUUAGGAUUUAGUGUUUGUAGAGGUUUUAGGCGUUUUAGUGGUUUAGGGUUUAGCGGUUUAGGGUUUAGGGUUGGUAGUGGUUAGGUUUAGAGGUUUAGGGUUAUAGGGUUUUUAGCGGUUGUGGGUUGUAGCGGUUUAGGGCGGUCUUUAGGGUAUUACGGGUUCUUAGGGCUUUAGGGUUUAGAGUUAGGGUUUAGGGUUUGGGUUUAGGGGAUUUAGUUUUAGGGUUUUAGGGUUUAGGUUUAGGUUGUUUAGGGUUUAGGGUUUAGGGUUAGGUUUAGGAGUUUUAGGGUUUAUGUGUUUAGGGUUUAGGGUUUAGGUUAGUGAUUUAGGGUUUAGGGCUUUAGGGUUUUAGGUGUUUUAGUGUUUAGGUUUGGGUUGUGUAGCGGUUUAGGGUAGUGGUUUUAGAAGGUUUAGGGCUUUAGGUUUAGGGUUUAGGGUUUUAGGGAUUUAGCGGUUUAUGGAUUUUAGGUUGGGUAGUGAUUUAGGUAUAGGGUUUAGGUUUUAGGGUUUAGGUUUAGGGUUUAGGUUUAGUGUUUAGGGUUUGAGGGGUUUAGGGGUUAGGAGUGGUUUUAGCGGUUUAGGGUUUAGGGUUUAGGGGGUUUAGGGUUUAGGGGUUUAGUUUUAGGUUUAGUUUUAGUGGUUAGGGUUAGGGUUUUAGGUUUUAGGGUAUUUAGGUUUUAGGGUUUUAGGGUUUAGGUUUUAGGUUUUAGGGUUUAGGUUUAGGGUUUAGGGGUUUACGUUGGGGUUUUUAGUAGGUUUAGGUUUCGGGUUUUAGUAGGUUUAGGGUUUAGUUCAGGAGGUUUAGGGUUUAGUAGGUUUAGAGUUUAUGGGUUUUCAGGGUUUAGGGUUUAGGGUUUAGGGUUAGGGUAGGGUUUAGCGGUUUAUGGGUUUUUAGGGUUUAGGUUCUUAUUUAGUUUAGGGUUUAGGGUUUAGGGUUUAGGUUUAGGUUAGGGUUUAGUGUUUAGUUUUAGGUUUCAGGGUAGGGUUAGGGUUUAAGGGUUUUAGGGUUUAGGGUUUAGGUUUAUUAGGUUAUAGGGUUAGGGUUUUAGGGUUUAGGGUUUAGGGUUUAGGGUUUAUGUGGUUAGGGUUAUAGGGUUUAGGGUUUAGCGGUUUAGGGUUUAGGCGUUUUAGGGGUUUAGGUUUAGGGUUUGAGGGUUUAGGGUUUAGGGUUUAGGGUUUAGUGGUUUAGGGUUUUAGAGCGUUAGGUUUUAGGGGUUUAGGGGUUUGAGGGUUUUAGGGUUUAGUGUUAGGGUUUAGGGUUUUAGGGUAUUAGGUUUAGGGUUUAGGUUUAGGGUCAGAAAACCUAUUUAGGUUUAGGGUUAUAGGGUUUAGGUGUUACGAGGGUUUAGGGUUCUAGAGGUUAGCGGUAGUUAGGGUUUAGCGGGGUUUAGGGUUUAGCUGGUUUAGGGUUUAGCGGUUUAGGGUUGUAGUGGUUUAGGGUUUAGAGGUUUAGGGUUUAGGUUUAGCGGUUUAGGUUUUAGCUUUUAGGGUUUAGAGGUUUAGGGUUUAGGAUUUAGGUUUAGGUUAGGGUUUAGAGGUUGUAUGGUUUAGUCGUGUUAUAGGGUUUUAGGUUUAGGCGGUUUAGGUUUAAGGGUUUAGGGUUUAGGUUUAGUUUAGGGUAGGUUAGUGUUUAGGGUUUAGGGUUUAGGGUUUAGGGUUUAGCGGUUUAGGUUCUCUCAGGGUUUAGUGGUUUGUGGGGUUAGGUUUAGGGUUUAGGGUUUAGGGUUUUAGGUUUUAGUCCGGUUCUUAGGGUUCUAGGUUUCUAGGGUUCUCAGAGGUUUAGUGGUUUAGGGGUUUAGGUUUAGGUUAGCGUUUUAGGGUUUUAGGUUUAGAGUUUAGGGGUUUUAGGGUUAGCGGGUUUAGCGGUUCUUAGUAGGUUUUAGGGUUUAGGGUUUAGGUUAGGGUUUUAUGGGUUUUAGUGGUUUAGGGGUUAUAGGGGUAUAGGGUUUUAGGGUUUAGGGAUUUAGCGGUUUAGGUUAUUAGGUUUUAGGUUUAGGGUUUAGGGUUUAGGCUUUAGGGGUUUAGGAUUUAGGGGUUUAGUGGUUUAGGGUUUAGGUGGUUUAGGGUUUAGGGUUUAGUUUAGGGUUCUAGGGUUGUAAGCGGUUUAGCGGUUUAGGGUUUAGGGUUUACAGGUGGUUUGAGGUUUUAGGGGUUUAUUGUUGUUUCAGGUGUAGGGUUUAGAGUUUAGCCGGUUUAGGGUUUUAGGGGUUUAGAGGUUCAGUUGGGUUUAAGGAGGUUUAGGGUUUAGGGUUUGGGGUUCUUUAGGUUUUACGGGUAUUAGGGUUUAGGUUUAGGGUUUAGUUAGGGGUUUAGUGGUUUUUAGGUUUAGGGUUUAAGUUAGGAUUUAGGUUUAGGGUUUAGUUGGUUAUAGGUUUUAGGGUUAGGUUUAGGGAUUUAGGGUUUGAGGGUUAGGGUUUAGGGUUAGGUUGAGUGGUUUAGGGUUUAGGGAGGUUUAGUGGUUUACGCGGUUUAGAGUUUAGGUUUAUGCGGUUUUAGAGUUUAGGGUUUAGGGUUUUAGGUUUUAUGUGGGAUUGUAGCGUUAGGGUUUAGGGUUGAUGGAUUUGUAGGGGUUUAGCGUUUAGGGGUUUAGGGUUUAAGGUUAGGGUUUAGGUUUAGAGGUUUAGACUACCUAGUAGGGUUUAGGUUUAUGUGGUUUAGGGUAUAUAGGGUUUAGGGUUUAGGUUUAGUUGGUUUAGAGGUUUAGAGGUUUUAGUGGUUUAGGCGUUAGGGCUUUAGGUUUAUGGGGUUUUUUUAAGGGUUUAGGGUUUAGUUUAGUGGUUUUAGGGUUUAGGUUUAGUGGUUUAGAGGGAUUUAGGGUUUUAGUUUAGGUGUCUGUAGGGUUUAGGGUUUAGGUUUAGGGUUUAGAGUUUUAGGUUUAGGUUUAGGGUUUAGGGGUUUAGGGUUAUGGGUUUAGGGUUUAGGGUUUUGUGAGAGUUUAGGGUUGGUUAGGUUUAGGGUAUGAGGUUUAGGGUUUAGAGGUUUUUAGUGGUUUAAGGUUUACUGGUUAUAAGGGUUUAGGGGUUUUAGGAGGUUUUUAGGGUUUAGGUUUAGCGGUUUAGGGUUUUCAGGGUUUAGGGUUUCUAGGAUGUUAGCGGUUAGGGUUUAGGGUUUAGCGGUUCUAGAGCGUUUCAGGUCUUUAGUGUCUAGGGUUUUAAGAGGGUUUAGGGUUUAGGUUUAGGGAUAGGGUGUUUAGGUGGUGGUUAGUGGUUUAGGUUUAGCGGUUUAGGGUAUUAGGGUUUAGGUGUUAGUUAUUAGAGUUAGGAGUUUUUAGAGCGGUUUAGGGUUUAGGGUGUUAGGGUUUAGUAGUUUUAGGUUUAGGGUUUUUAGGGUUUAGGUUUAGUUUAGGUUAGGGUUUAGUUAGGGUUUAGGUUUAGGGUUUAUGGUUUUAGGGGUUAGUGGUUUAGGGUUUAUUUAGGGGUUUUAGAGGUUAGGGUUUAGUCGGUUUAGGUUAAGGGUUUAGUCGGUUUAGGUUUAGGGUUUAGGGUUUAGGUUUUAGGGUUUAGGGUAUUAGGGUUUUCAGAGUUAGCGGUUUAGGGUUUAGGUUUGGGUUUUUUGGUUGUAGGCGUUUAGGGUCUUAGGGUUUCAGGGUUUAGGUUUAGGGUUAGGCGUUUAGUGGUUUUAAGGUUUAGGGUAUAUAUAGAGGUUUUAAGUGUUUAGGGUUUUAGGUUUAAGGUUUAGGGUUUAGUUUAGGGUUUAGAGGUUUAGGUUUAGGCGGUUUUGGUGGUUUAGUGUUUAGGUUUAAGGUUCUAGGGUAUUAGGGGUUUUAGGGUUUAGGGUUCAGGUUUAGGGUAUUAGGGUUGGGGUAGUGGGCGUUUAGGGUUUAGGUGUGUAGGAUUUAGUUUAGGGUUUGUGUAGGUUUGGCGGGUUUAGAGGUUUAGUUUAGGGUUUAGGUUUAGGGUUAGGGAGUUUAGGGUUAAUAGGUUAGUGGUAGGGUUUAGAGGGGGUAUUUUUUUGUAGGUUUUAAGGGUUAUGUCGGUUUAGACCGUGUUGAGACUUUGAGAGCGUUUAGGGUUUAGUGGUUUAGGGUUUAGGUCUUUAGGGGUUUUAGUUGUUUAUGGGUUUAGGGGUUUGAGGUUUUAGGUUUCUUAGGGUUUAGCUGGCUUUAGCGGUUUAGGUUAUAGGUUUAGCUGUUAUUUAGGGUUUAUGGUUUUAGGGUUUAGGUUUAGGGUUUAGUAUUAGGUUUACGUGGUUUUAGGGUAUUAGGGUUUACAGAUUUUUAGGGUUUAGGGUUAGACGGUCUCUUAGAAGUUUAGGGUUUUAGGGUUUAGGGUUUAAUGGUUUAGGGUAGUGGGUUUUAGGGUUUAGGUUUAGGGUUUCGUGUUUUAGGUUAGGGUUUAGGGUUUAGGGAUUUAGGGUUUUAGGUUUACGGGUUAGAGGUUUAGAGUUUAGGUUAGGGUUUAGCCGGUUUAGCGGUUUAGACGUUAGGGUUUAGGGUUGUAGGGUUAGGGGUUAGGGUUUAGGGUUUAGGGUUUAGGGUUCUAGG
Molecule: long non-coding RNA, 15186 nt
Filed under: Ananas comosus (pineapple)
Lineage: Eukaryota; Viridiplantae; Streptophyta; Magnoliopsida; Poales; Bromeliaceae
Description: long non-coding RNA (ACOM_LNC027605)
Source: RNAcentral